GAUGAACGCUGGCGGCGUGCCUAAUACAUGCCAGUCGAGCGAACAGACGAGGAGCUUGCUCCUCUGACGUUAGCGGCGGACGGGUGAGUAACACGUGGAUAACCUCCCUAUAAGACUGGGAUAACUUCGGGAAACCGGAGCUCAUACCGGAUAAUAUAUUGAACCGCAUGGCUCAAUAGUGAAAGACGGUUUUGCUGUCACUUAUAGAUGGAUCCGCGCCGCAUUAGCUAGUUGGUAAGGUAACGGCUUACCAAGGCAACGAUGCGUAGCCGACCUGAGAGGGUGAUCGGCCACACUGGAACUGAGACACGGUCCAGACUCCUACGGGAGGCAGCAGUAGGGAAUCGUCCGCAAUGGGCGAAAGCCUGACGGAGCAACGCCGCGUGAGUGAUGAAGGUCUUCGGAUCGUAAAACUCUGUUAUUAGGGAAGAACAACUGUGUAAGUAACUGUGCACGUCUUGACGGUACCUGAUCAGAAAGCCACGGCUAACUACGUG
RNAcentral lists this ribosomal RNA (497 nucleotides) under uncultured bacterium. Its description in RNAcentral is "partial 16S ribosomal RNA". It matches the Rfam family "Bacterial small subunit ribosomal RNA", at positions 28 to 507 of the family's 1533-position model. The record is from RNAcentral.